UAAUCUUCGAAUUCCAGAAGA
This 21-nucleotide non-coding RNA is filed under the name Caenorhabditis elegans. Lineage: Eukaryota; Metazoa; Nematoda; Chromadorea; Rhabditida; Rhabditidae. The record is from RNAcentral.